GAUGAAGAACGUAGCGAAAUGCGAUAAGUAAUGUGAAUUGCAGAAUUCAGUGAAUCAUCGAAUCUUUGAACGCACAUUGCGCCCGCCAGUAUUCUGGCGGGCAUGCCUGUUCGAGCGUCAUUUCAACCAUCAAGCCCCAGGCUUGUGUUGGAGCCCUGCGGCUGCCGCAGCCUCCCAAAACCAGUGGCGGGCUCGCUAUCACACCGAGUGCAGUAGUUUACUCUUCGCUCAGGGCGUGUGGCGGGUGCUAGCCGUAAAACCCCCAACUUCUCAAGGUUGACCUCGGAUCAGGUAGGAAUACCCGCUGAACUUAAGAAUAUCAAUCAGCGGAGGA
This 334-nucleotide unclassified non-coding RNA is filed under the name soil metagenome. Its description in RNAcentral is "partial contains 5.8S ribosomal RNA, internal transcribed spacer 2, and large subunit ribosomal RNA". The stretch from base 1 to 120 matches the Rfam family "5.8S ribosomal RNA", at positions 35 to 154 of the family's 154-position model. The record is from RNAcentral.